RNAcentral lists this microRNA precursor (97 nucleotides) under Equus caballus (horse). RNAcentral describes it as "mir-9058 microRNA precursor family". It matches the Rfam family "mir-9058 microRNA precursor family". The record is from Rfam by way of RNAcentral. Lineage: Eukaryota; Metazoa; Chordata; Mammalia; Perissodactyla; Equidae.
GUGGCUGGCGGCUGGGUGCCUUCUACUGGUGCUGUGCAGAGGCUUUCCCUAAGGCUGCUGUGAGCCUGUAGGGUUUCCCCCUAAGCUACGAAGCUGG